This 863-nucleotide long non-coding RNA is filed under the name Rosa chinensis. Its description in RNAcentral is "sRNA RchiOBHm_Chr1g0366001". The record is from RNAcentral. Lineage: Eukaryota; Viridiplantae; Streptophyta; Magnoliopsida; Rosales; Rosaceae.
GGCCAAACUUAUCUCACUCACCCCAGUGACAAAUUUUUAUUCUCACUCCCCGAUUAAAAUAAAAUGACAUUUUCGCCCUUGAUUUAAUUAAUAAACUACACUUUAUCCUCUCUCUCCCUCCCCCAGCAUGAUUCUCUCUCUCUCUCUCUCCGAUCUCCGAUCUCCAACUCUAUCCCUGCGUCGAACUCCGGCAUCACGAUCGUGGACGACAUGGCGUCGAUAGUCCACACCUGAAGCUCCGGUCGGAGCUACCAGAGUCUAACUCUGUCUCGAUAUAGAGCCUCGCGGUGGAGCUUGCCGACGGCGCGUCGAAGCUGCUGCAACUCGUCAUCGGCGUUGGAAAGUCCGUCAAAGGCGGCGAAUUUGACAAUCCGACUUCGCAAUCCGUAAAAAACCAGAGUUCGGUCAUCACUGUCGAUCUUUCAAGAUGCAAGCUUCGUGACCCCUAAACAAUUUUCACUACUUCAUUUCCGUCUUCGACAAAGAUCCGGCCGAGCCCAGCAGGAAAAGAAAGCUCCGGGAGGAUUAUUACAUCUCUGGGAUGUGAUGAGAACCUGCUACUGCUUCGACGAUCCCACCAGGGCGAUCGUUGAUCUCGAUCUCGAAACCGCCACUUUUCGCAAUCUGGAAUAUCGGCUCUUCACCAUCAUCGACUACGACAUUGGCGUCGUAGACAACAUGAUAACGGGCAUUGGGCGUUGUUUAUGGAAGCGUGCCUUUUGAUGAGGUUAAUGAGAUGGUGCACCGAAUACGGCGUGUCGUCAAUGAAGCUUUUCGGUCUGGGCGACCAAAGGAGAAGCUGGAUGUAACGAUGACGGUGAAAAAGGUUCUAUUGGGGCAAAGGACGUCGGUUGAAGGGUCUA